Molecule: long non-coding RNA, 556 nt
Organism: Tachyglossus aculeatus (Australian echidna)
Lineage: Eukaryota; Metazoa; Chordata; Mammalia; Monotremata; Tachyglossidae
Exons: 4
Source: RefSeq, a predicted model, not a curated record
GGCUGACACCACGGAGCAGUAGUAGACCCCGCUGUCACCCCAGGCCGUCUGGUCAAACACCAGAUGGAGAAGGUCAACCUGGUACCUGGAUUUCCACCAACAGCACUUCAAACACAGGAGCCGAGGAAGUGGACUGUGGAGAUGAUCCAGGGUUUCAGCCCAGGGCCAUCUUUGAGACCCUGCAGCAGCUCCUCAGUGGCCCUUACGUUGAGGAAGACCUGGUGUAUCUGUGUUGGGGCGUGGCAGGGGCCGUUCUCUGGGAGCUGAGCCUUCAGCUGCCUUGGUAGUUGGAACCACUUUUAGACCACCAUGGGAAUUGCAGUGCCAGGCUCAGGCUCCCGCCUGGCACUGGGCAGACCCUCCGGCCCGGCCUCCCGCCCUGCGUACACUGGGCAGACCCUGCAGCACAAGCCCUGCACACUGGGAUUCUGGCAGGGGAGAAUCCUGGGCUUCGGUGAGGCCAGGCAAUCGGUGUCCGGUAUGGGGUACCUGCCGCCAGUGGGACUUGUGCUCGAGCUGUGUGUGCGGUCGUGGGGCUGACUGGCACUGCACCAUC